Molecule: ribosomal RNA, 468 nt
Filed under: uncultured bacterium
Lineage: Bacteria
Description: partial 16S ribosomal RNA
Rfam family: Bacterial small subunit ribosomal RNA
Source: RNAcentral
GACGAACGCUGGCGGCGUGCUUAACACAUGCAAGUCGAACGGACAGGCCCUGCUUUUGUGGGGUGCUCGAGUGGCGAACGGGUGAGUAACACGUGAGUAAACUGUCCCUGUCUUUGGGAUAAAUUCAGGAGACUGGGGCUCAUAUCGGAUAGGAGCUCCUGCAGCAUGGUGGGGGUUGGUAAGAUUCGGCGGUUGGGGCUGGACUCGCGGCUUAUCAGCUUGAUGGUGGGGUAGUGGCUUACCAAGGCUUUGACGGGUAGCCGGCCUGAGAGGGUGACCGGCCACAUAGGGACUGAGGUGCGGCCCAGACUCCUACGGGAGGCAGCAGUGGGGAAGAUUGCACAAUGGGCGGAAGCCUGAUGCAGCAACGCCGCGUGCGGGAUGACGGUCUUCGGGUUGUAAACCGCUUUCGCCUGUGACGAAGCGUGAGUGACGGUAAUGGGUAAAGAAGCACCGGCUAACUACGUG